UACGGAGGGGGCUAGCGUUGUUCGGAAUUACUGGGCGUAAAGCGCACGUAGGCGGCUUUGUAAGUUAGAGGUGAAAGCCCGGGGCUCAACUCCGGAAUUGCCUUUAAGACUGCAUCGCUAGAAUUGUGGAGAGGUAAGUGGAAUUCCGAGUGUAGAGGUGAAAUUCGUAGAUAUUCGGAAGAACACCAGUGGCGAAGGCGGCUCACUGGCUCGUGACUGACGCUCAUGCACGACAGCGUGGGGAUCAAACAGG
RNAcentral lists this ribosomal RNA (253 nucleotides) under uncultured bacterium. Its description in RNAcentral is "partial 16S ribosomal RNA". It matches the Rfam family "Bacterial small subunit ribosomal RNA", at positions 524 to 776 of the family's 1533-position model. The record is from RNAcentral.